RNAcentral lists this ribosomal RNA (836 nucleotides) under uncultured bacterium. RNAcentral's name for it is "bacterial SSU rRNA". It matches the Rfam family "Bacterial small subunit ribosomal RNA", at positions 664 to 1501 of the family's 1533-position model. The record is from RNAcentral.
GAAUUCCUGGUGUAGCGGUGAAAUCCGUGAUAUCAGGAGGAACUCCCAUGGCGAAGGCAGCAUACUGGUCGUUCCUGUCGCUGAGGCGCGAAAGCGUGGGUAGCAAACAGGAUUAGAUACCCUGGUAGUCCACGCCCUAAACGAUGGAUACUAAGCGUCGGAGGUAUCGACCCCUCCGGUGCCGCAGCUAACGCAUUAAGUAUCCCGCCUGGGGACUACGGCCGCAAGGUUGAAACUCAAAUGAAUUGACGGGGUCCCGCACAAGCGGUGGAGCAUGUGGUUUAAUUCGAUACUAACCGAAGAACCUUACCCAGAUUUGACAUCGAUGGCAAGCCAAAGAAAUUUGGCCCUCCCCACAAGGGACCUGAAGACACUUGUUGCAUGGCUGUCGUCAGCUCGUGCCGUGAGGUGUACGGUUAAGUCCGCCAACGAGCGCAACCCACGUCCUGUGUUACCAGCGAGAGAGUCGGGCACUUACAGGAGACCCCCGGUGUAAGCCGGAGGAAGGUGUGGAUGACGUCAAGUCAGCAUGGCAGUUACAUCUGGGGCUACACACAUGAUACAAUGGGCGAAACAAAGGGCAGCAAUUCCGCGAGGUGGAGCAAAUCCCAAAAUACGCCCUCAGUUCAGAUUACAGUUUGCAACUCGACUGUAUGAAGGCGGAAUCGCUAGUAAACGCAGGUCAGCUAUACUGCGUUGAAUACGUUCCCGGGUCUUGUACACACCGCCCGUCAAGUCACUUGAAUUGUCUUCACCCGAAGUGCGUGGCUUAACCGCAAGGAGAGAGCGUUCGAAGGUGAGGGGAGUAAGAGGGAUUAAGUCGUAACAAGGUAACC